This 935-nucleotide long non-coding RNA is filed under the name Elaeis guineensis (African oil palm). Its description in RNAcentral is "long non-coding RNA (EGUI_LNC011481)". Lineage: Eukaryota; Viridiplantae; Streptophyta; Magnoliopsida; Arecales; Arecaceae. The record is from RNAcentral.
GUGCCUUGCUUUCUCAUUUUAUCCUAUACCCAAUCAUUAUUUAAAACUUUGUAUCAAUUAGAGAUGGUUUUCAACUCUUCCUUUCUUUCUUGGCUUGAGGAUUUGAAAGUCCAAUUUACACAUUGAAUAUGGUAAUGACAAGAGCUUGUUCUGCUUAGAUUAAAGUCCUGUUUGGAUGCAGCGUGGAGGGCCAAUAAGAAAAGAAGGGAAGAGAGAAAGAGGAGAGACUGAGAAGGUGGGUUUGGAGAAAGGAGCAAUACCAACUCUGUUCUCUCCUAAUAAAACGAGGGAUAUUGCUCUCUCCUCACUUUCUUCUCUCCUCUCCAAUUCUCUCAAUCCAAACAGUGUAAAGGUUUGAUGUCAAGUAACCUAUAAUAUAGAACUUUCUCACAAUACUACCACUAUAUGAACUUCACAGCAUAUUACUCUCUCUUCAUUUUCUCUUCUCUCCUCUCCAAUUCUCUCAAUCCAAAUAGUGUAAAGGUUCGAAGUCAAAUAACCUAUAAAAUAGAACUUUCCCACAAUACUACCACUAUAAGAACUUCACACAGCACCAGCAGUAUGAGUAACAUGAUAUUUUGUGUGUGAGGUGCAAAACCCGUUGUUCCCCGUAUUUCUUUACCAUGAAAUUUGAGUUGUUUGUGUCAUUGGUGCCAACACAAGACUAUGUAAUGUUAGUUUAUAUGACAAUUUACUUCACAGGCAAUCUACACAAAUAUCUAGGACAAUUUAUGAAUCUACAUAUUUUUAAGUUUAUUGAAAAAUCAAGCUUAUUGUUCAUAACAUGACAUGCACUAGUAUAAAGCAACUAACAUUGAUCUAUGUAGAAAAACUUAGAUGACAUGGUCUAUUUUAGCAUGUUAGUUGCCAAACCCUUUCAAGGCUAGCAUAUCCUUCUGCAUCAAUGUGUGCCAAAUUGCCAAUUGUUGUCACAU